RNAcentral lists this ribosomal RNA (114 nucleotides) under Acanthosepion pharaonis. The record is from RNAcentral. Lineage: Eukaryota; Metazoa; Mollusca; Cephalopoda; Sepiida; Sepiidae.
UUACGGUCAAAUCACGCUGAAACACCGGUUCUCGUUCGAUCACCGAAGUUAAGCAUCGUAGAGCCAGGUCAGUACUUAGAUGGGGGACCGCUUGGGAACACCUGGUAUUGUAAG